This 279-nucleotide unclassified non-coding RNA is filed under the name Hevea brasiliensis (rubber tree). Lineage: Eukaryota; Viridiplantae; Streptophyta; Magnoliopsida; Malpighiales; Euphorbiaceae. The record is from RNAcentral.
AGAACACUCUCCUUGUACUCAGCCGACUGUUCAUCGAAAAGCUCCCAGCAAACAAAUGACACGACACGGACAGUCUUCCCCUCCUUCCUCAACUCAUCAGCAGCCUUGGCGACAAUCUCUAGUUCAGAGCCAGUGCUCAUCACAAUGAAGUCAGGCUUGUUGCCAGUUGAGUUGUCAGAGACGAUGUACCCACCCUUCUCAACACCCUCAAUCGAGGUACCAGGCAGCUGAGCAAGCUUUUGCCUGGAGAGAGCAAGGACGGAUGGCCUCUUCCUGUUG